GCCUCUGUAGCUCAGGGGUUUAGAGUAUGUCCUUCGUAGUUUCACAAGGCAAAGACAGGUCAGGGUCACAGGUUCGAAUCCUGUCUGAGGCA
This is a transfer RNA of Cryptococcus amylolentus CBS 6039, 92 nucleotides long. It matches the Rfam family "tRNA". From Rfam's summary of the family: Transfer RNA (tRNA) molecules are approximately 80 nucleotides in length. Their secondary structure includes four short double-helical elements and three loops (D, anti-codon, and T loops). The record is from Rfam. NCBI's taxonomy places the organism in Eukaryota, Fungi, Basidiomycota, Tremellomycetes, Tremellales, Cryptococcaceae.